ACCUUCGGGGGGCAGCAGUGGGGAAUUUUGGACAAUGGGCGAAAGCCUGAUCCAGCCAUGCCGCGUGCAGGAUGAAGGCCUUCGGGUUGUAAACUGCUUUUGUACGGAACGAAAAGACUCUUUCUAAUAAAGAGGGUCCAUGACGGUACCGUAAGAAUAAGCACCGGCUAACUACGUGCCAGCAGCCGCGGUAAUACGUAGGGUGCAAGCGUUAAUCGGAAUUACUGGGCGUAAAGCGUGCGCAGGCGGUUAUGUAAGACAGAUGUGAAAUCCCCGGGCUCAACCUGGGAACUGCAUUUGUGACUGCAUAGCUAGAGUACGGUAGAGGGGGAUGGAAUUCCGCGUGUAGCAGUGAAAUGCGUAGAUAUGCGGAGGAACACCGAUGGCGAAGGCAAUCCCCUGGACCUGUACUGACGCUCAUGCACGAAAGCGUGGGGAGCAAACAGGAUUAGAUACCCUUGUAGUCG
This 467-nucleotide ribosomal RNA is filed under the name uncultured Comamonadaceae bacterium. RNAcentral describes it as "bacterial SSU rRNA". It matches the Rfam family "Bacterial small subunit ribosomal RNA", at positions 337 to 796 of the family's 1533-position model. Lineage: Bacteria; Pseudomonadati; Pseudomonadota; Betaproteobacteria; Burkholderiales; Comamonadaceae. The record is from RNAcentral.